RNAcentral lists this ribosomal RNA (468 nucleotides) under uncultured bacterium. Its description in RNAcentral is "partial 16S ribosomal RNA". It matches the Rfam family "Bacterial small subunit ribosomal RNA", at positions 28 to 507 of the family's 1533-position model. The record is from RNAcentral.
GACGAACGCUGGCGGCGUGCUUAACACAUGCAAGUCGAACGGAAAGGCCCUGCUUUUGUGGGGUUCUCGAGUGGCGAACGGGUGCGUAACACGUGAGUAACCUGCCCUUGACUUUGGGAUAACUUCAGGAAACUGGGGCUACUACCGGAUAGGAGCUCCUGCUGCAUGGUGGGCGUUGGAUAGUUUCGGCGGUUGGGGAUGGACUCGCGGCUUAUCAGCUUGUUGGUGGGGUAGUGGCUUACCAAGGCUUUGACGGGUAGCCGGCCUGAGAGGGUGACCGGCGACAUGAGGACUGAGAUACGGCCCAGACGCCUACGGGAGGCAGCAGGGGGGAAUAUUGCACAAUGGGCGGAAGCCUGAUGCAGCAACGCCGCGGGCGGGAUGACGGCCUGCGGGUUGUGAACCGCUUUCGCCUGUGACGAAGCGUGAGUGACGGUAAUGGGUAAAGAAGCACCGGCUAACUACGUG